UCUGCCGUUGCUCCCCUCUCUCUCCCCCAAUUUCCCCAUCAUCCCUCUCUCUCUCACACCAUUAUUCCCUCUCUCUGACAGUCCCGCCAUUUCUCCCGUCUUUUUAUCUCGGCCAUUUCCCCUCUCUCCCUCAAUCUCUCUCCUGCCAUUAUCCCUCUCUCUCUCAUAGUCUCCACUAUUAUCAGAAGUCUCUCUCUCUCCCAUUAUCCGUCUUUUCCAUUCUCGACGAAGGCUUCAUCUUCUCCACAGAGACAGCAGCAACAGCGUCUCUACUGCUCUACAGUACUCCCACCACACAAAGGUGAGUUUGUAGACUUUACCUCUGAAUUUUUUUUUUUGGAUUUUUUUUUUGGUUAAUAUGAUAUUGUUUGUAGGCUUCACCUCUGUUCUUACAUUGAAACUCUUCCGCCCCCUGUAACUCUGUUUUUUUGGGAUGUUUUUCUUUCUUGAAACUCCUAUUUUUUAUGUGAAAACACUUUACAGGUCAUAGUUUUGUAGGAGCCCAAAGAUGGGCACUGUUGUAAAACGAAGAGAGCAGUACGCGAUACAAUUAGGUUUCAUCCCCCUGCAUUUUCAUCGUACGGAAGAUAUGCUCCAUUUCUUCAAUGUUUCCCUCACUUCCAAACGUUUCUAUAAUUGAAUUAAAACUCACGGUUGUUUUUGAGAAAUGCCAACUCCUAUCAUUUUCUCUUCCAUUCCAUUGGAUCAAAAUAUUAAGAGUUUGGGUAUGGACCCACGUGUUUGUUAGGUUUAUAUGGUCUUUAAAGGCUUUAUGCCCGUGUAUUUGUUAGGUUUAUAUGGUUUUUAAAGGCGUAUUGAAAUAUUUUUAUUAUAGUGAAAUAUAAACUUAGCGGGAGUAUGGUCCCUCAAAGACCAUAUUAAGUGAAUGAUGUUUGUUUAUACCGGACUGUGCUUAUCGAUCUAGGCCAGUCAGUUGAAAAAUCCAAGGUACCUGGGCAUAACGAAUUAACCGAAAAGGGUUUUAGGUUAGCCCUUAUGAGGUCAGAGCUCAUGCCUAGAUGAGUGAGCCGAGGGACCGUCUGACCCUUGUAUGUGAUGAUAGGCCUAUUGAGACGGGGGUUAAAACCUCAUCCAUGUUCCAUCACAUGGUAUGCAUAUCGAUAGAUCGUUCGGGAAAGCCAGUUAUCCACCUUUGGGUAAAGCGUAUGCAUGUGCAAGAGAUACCCCUAUGCACCAUAGAGUUGUGUCGCAUCAAGUCGUCCUGACCUUGACUCGUCUCUAGAGGAGAACUUGUAAUCCACAGAUUGGGAUUGUGACCCCUUGAUUCAUCGACCUGACUUUGGUGACCUGCUAAUGAGCCUCUAAUUGGACUGUAGGUCAUGAGAAACACUGGGUCGGUUCGAUAAAGUUAAUGUGGUUUGUAGUCCACAGUUGAAGAUGGAGUACCCCAUUAUUG
RNAcentral lists this long non-coding RNA (1417 nucleotides) under Amborella trichopoda. RNAcentral describes it as "long non-coding RNA (ATRI_LNC002116)". Lineage: Eukaryota; Viridiplantae; Streptophyta; Magnoliopsida; Amborellales; Amborellaceae. The record is from RNAcentral.